GGCGGGGUAGCUCAGUGGUAGAGCAGGGGACUCAUAAGCCCCGUGUCGGGAGUCCGAUUCUCCCCCCCGCUACCA
This 75-nucleotide transfer RNA is filed under the name Chloroflexota bacterium. RNAcentral's name for it is "Chloroflexi bacterium (groundwater metagenome) tRNA-Met". It matches the Rfam family "tRNA". Rfam says of the family: Transfer RNA (tRNA) molecules are approximately 80 nucleotides in length. Their secondary structure includes four short double-helical elements and three loops (D, anti-codon, and T loops). Further hydrogen bonds mediate the characteristic L-shaped molecular structure. tRNAs have two regions of fundamental functional importance: the anti-codon, which is responsible for specific mRNA codon recognition, and the 3' end, to which the tRNAs corresponding amino acid is attached (by aminoacyl-tRNA synthetases). tRNAs cope with the degeneracy of the genetic code in two manners: having more than one tRNA (with a specific anti-codon) for a particular amino acid; and 'wobble' base-pairing, i.e. permitting non-standard base-pairing at the 3rd anti-codon position. Lineage: Bacteria; Bacillati; Chloroflexota. The record is from RNAcentral.